RNAcentral lists this ribosomal RNA (357 nucleotides) under Allochroa pfeifferi. RNAcentral describes it as "partial 12S ribosomal RNA". The record is from RNAcentral. Lineage: Eukaryota; Metazoa; Mollusca; Gastropoda; Ellobiida; Ellobiidae.
AUUAGAUACCCCACUAUAAGGAGCCACAAUANUACAGAAGCACUAAAACCUCNUGGUUAAAACUUAAAGAGUAUGGCGGUGGGCCUAAUUUCUCAGGGGAAUUUACCCGGUAAUUGAUAACCCACAAGGUGCCCCUCGUGCCCUAACAGUUUGUAUGCCGCCGUCUCCAGGUAGCGCCUANNGCCUUGCCGAGAAUCUACAGGAAAGAAGACAGGUCAUGGUGCAGCCUAUGGGCACGUGCAGGGUGAGUUACNUUGAAGGAUUCUCUCGGAGUGAACNCUAAANUAUCGUUCACGGAAGGUGGACUUGAAAGUAAAAAACACNAAAAUUAUUUCUUGAAUUUUCUUUAGGCACGUG